GCCCUGGUGGUGUAGUGGCUAUCAUUCCGGCCUGUCGAGCCGGUGACCCGGGUUCAAUUCCCGGCCAGGGCG
Molecule: transfer RNA, 72 nt
Filed under: Microcaldota archaeon
Lineage: Archaea; Nanobdellati; Microcaldota
Also listed under: 1 other name
Description: Micrarchaeota archaeon tRNA
Rfam family: tRNA
About the family: Transfer RNA (tRNA) molecules are approximately 80 nucleotides in length. Their secondary structure includes four short double-helical elements and three loops (D, anti-codon, and T loops).
Source: Rfam by way of RNAcentral